GACGAACGCUGGCGGCGUGCUUAACACAUGCAAGUCGAGCGACGCUCUUCCUUCGGGGAGAUGACGGAGCGGCGAACGGGUGAGUAACACGUGGGCAACCUGCCCCUAGCUCUGGGACAACACCGGGAAACCGGUGCUAAUACCGGAUACGACAUCGAGCGGCAUCUCUCGAUGUGGAAAGUUUUUUCGGCUAGGGAUGGGCCCGCGGCCUAUCAGCUUGUUGGUGGGGUAAUGGCCCACCAAGGCGACGACGGGUAGCCGGCCUGAGAGGGCGACCGGCCACACUGGGACUGAGACACGGCCCAGACUCCUACGGGAGGCAGCAGUGGGGAAUAUUGCGCAAUGGGCGAAAGCCUGACGCAGCGACGCCGCGUGAGGGAUGACGGCCUUCGGGCUGUAAACCUCUUUCAGCAGGGACGAAUUCAGACGGUACCUGCAGAAGAAGCACCGGCCAACUACGUG
This 462-nucleotide ribosomal RNA is filed under the name uncultured bacterium. Its description in RNAcentral is "partial 16S ribosomal RNA". It matches the Rfam family "Bacterial small subunit ribosomal RNA", at positions 28 to 507 of the family's 1533-position model. The record is from RNAcentral.